Molecule: ribosomal RNA, 374 nt
Filed under: Ascelis schraderi
Lineage: Eukaryota; Metazoa; Arthropoda; Insecta; Hemiptera; Eriococcidae
Description: partial large subunit ribosomal RNA
Source: RNAcentral
UGAAACCGUUCGGGGGUAAACGGACAGAGCCCGUGAAUCUGGACGGCGGAAUUCAGGAUAGGAGGAGGAGGAGGAGGAGAAGCAGCGGUUCGCUGCUGCUGCUGCUGCUGCCGCCGCCGCCUGUCUGAUAUUUCCGUCGUCGCGCGGACGUCGCGACCUGUUCGACGUCGGUCCACGCUCCGGAGGAGCCGUCACCGAGUUCGUCCGCGUCCGCGCGUUUCGGCGCGCGUGCACGGCGAAGGUGCGCGGAUCGUUUUCCGGCCGACUCGUCGGACAGUACGCUUGUAGAACGGUGUCCGGCGCCGCCGCCGCCGCUGUCGUGCGUGCGUGCGUGCGUGUGUCCGGUACCGGUCGGCGACGAUUUCGUCGGGCCU